GAUGAACGCUGGCGGCGUGCCUAAUACAUGCAAGUCGAGCGAACAGACGAGGAGCUUGCUCCUCUGACGUUAGCGGCGGACGGGUGAGUAACACGUGGAUAACCUACCUAUAAGACUGGGAUAACUUCGGGAAACCGGAGCUAAUACCGGAUAAUAUAUUGAACCGCAUGGUUCAAUAGUGAAAGACGGUUUUGCUGUCACUUAUAGAUGGAUCCGCGCCGCAUUAGCUAGUUGGUAAGGUAACGGCUUACCAAGGCAACGAUGCGUAGCCGACCUGAGAGGGUGAUCGGCCACACUGGAACUGAGACACGGUCCAGACUCCUACGGGAGGCAGCAGUAGGGAAUCUUCCGCAAUGGGCAAAAGCUUGACGGAGCAACGCCGCGUGAGUGAUGAAGGUCUUCGGAUCGUAAAACUCUGUUAUUAGGGAAGAACAAAUGUGUAAGUAACUAUGCACGUCUUGACGGUACCUAAUCAGAAAGCCACGGCUAACUACGUG
RNAcentral lists this ribosomal RNA (497 nucleotides) under uncultured bacterium. RNAcentral describes it as "partial 16S ribosomal RNA". It matches the Rfam family "Bacterial small subunit ribosomal RNA", at positions 28 to 507 of the family's 1533-position model. The record is from RNAcentral.